AUACUCUGGUUUCUCUUCAGAUGGCAUAAAUAUUUCACCUUUUACUAAAGACUUCCAUGGAGAGAAACAAUUGAGUCCUUAACCAAUUUUUGAGAACUUGCUUGGGAAAAAA
Small nuclear RNA from Ailuropoda melanoleuca (giant panda), 112 nucleotides. Its record names the gene U5. It matches the Rfam family "U5 spliceosomal RNA". Rfam says of the family: U5 RNA is a component of both types of known spliceosome. Lineage: Eukaryota; Metazoa; Chordata; Mammalia; Carnivora; Ursidae. The record is from Ensembl.